GGUUGUGGCUCAGAGGUAGAGCACUCGCCUCGCAUGUGUGAGGCACUGGGUUCGAUCCUCAGCACCA
This 67-nucleotide transfer RNA is filed under the name Marmota monax (woodchuck). RNAcentral describes it as "tRNA.Ala". It matches the Rfam family "tRNA". Rfam says of the family: Transfer RNA (tRNA) molecules are approximately 80 nucleotides in length. Their secondary structure includes four short double-helical elements and three loops (D, anti-codon, and T loops). The record is from RNAcentral. Lineage: Eukaryota; Metazoa; Chordata; Mammalia; Rodentia; Sciuridae.